This 403-nucleotide ribosomal RNA is filed under the name uncultured bacterium. RNAcentral describes it as "bacterial SSU rRNA". It matches the Rfam family "Bacterial small subunit ribosomal RNA", at positions 30 to 430 of the family's 1533-position model. The record is from RNAcentral.
AGCGAACGUUUGCGGCGGGCUUAACACAUGCAAGUCGAACGGGCUGUUCCUUCGGGGGCAGUCAGUGGCGCACGGGUGCGUAACACGUAGGUAAUCAACCCUCUGGUUGGGGAUAACACUUCGAAAGGAGUGCUAAUACCCGGUAUGGCGCAGCGGUCUUCGGAUCGCGGCGAGAAAGACCCGCAAGGGUUGCCAGAGGACGAGCCUGCGGCCCAUCAGCUAGUUGGCGAGGUAACGGCUCACCAAGGCGAAGACGGGUAGCUGGUCUGAGAGGAUGAUCAGCCACACUGGAACUGAGACACGGUCCAGACUCCUACGGGAGGCAGCAGUGGGGAAUAUUGCGCAAUGGGCGAAAGCCUGACGCAGCCACGCCGCGUGAGCGAUGAAGGCCUCGGUCGGUAAG